GACGAACGCUGGCGGCGUGCUUAACACAUGCAAGUCGAACGGAAAGGCCCUGCUUUUGUGGGGUGCUCGAGUGGCGAACGGGUGAGUAACACGUGAGUAACCUGCCCUUGACUUUGGGAUAACUUCAGGAAACUGGGGCUAAUACCGGAUAGGAGCUCCUGCUGCAUGGUGGGGGUUGGAAAGUUUCGGCGGUUGGGGAUGGACUCGCGGCUUAUCAGCUUGUUGGUGGGGUAGUGGCUUACCAAGGCUUUGACGGGUAGCCGGCCUGAGAGGGUGACCGGGCACAUGGGGAUUGAGAGACGGCCCAGACGCCUACGGGAGGCAGCAGUGGGGAAUAUUGCACAAUGGGCGGAAGCCUGAUGCAGCAACGCCGCGUGCGGGAUGACGGCCUGCGGGUGGUAAACCGCUUUCGCCUGUGACGAAGCGUGAGUGACGGUAAGGGGCAAAGAAGCACCGGCUAACUACGU
RNAcentral lists this ribosomal RNA (467 nucleotides) under uncultured bacterium. RNAcentral's name for it is "partial 16S ribosomal RNA". It matches the Rfam family "Bacterial small subunit ribosomal RNA", at positions 28 to 506 of the family's 1533-position model. The record is from RNAcentral.